CUACGGGUGCUCCAGUGGGGAAUAUUGGGCAAUGGGCGCAAGCCUGACCCAGCAACGCCGCGUGAGGGAAGAAGGUUUUCGGAUUGUAAACCUCUGUCCUUGGGGACGAAGAAGUGACGGUACCCAAGGAGGAGGCUCCGGCUAACUACGUGCCAGCAGCCGCGGUAAUACGUAGGGAGCAAGCGUUGUCCGGAAUUACUGGGCGUAAAGGGUGCGUAGGCGGCAUAUUAAGUCAGGUGUGAAAUACUCGGGCUCAACCCGGGGGCUGCAUUUGAAACUGAUAUGCUUGAGUGUGAGAGAGGAAAGUGGAAUUCCUAGUGUAGCGGUGGAAUGCGUAGAUAUUAGGAGGAACACCAGUGGCGAAGGCGACUUUCUGGCUCAUAACUGACGCUGAGGCACGAAAGCGUGGGGAGCAAACAGGAUUAGAUACCCUCGUAGUC
This 440-nucleotide ribosomal RNA is filed under the name uncultured bacterium. RNAcentral describes it as "partial 16S ribosomal RNA". It matches the Rfam family "Bacterial small subunit ribosomal RNA", at positions 339 to 795 of the family's 1533-position model. The record is from RNAcentral.